AUACCCGCUGAACUUAAGCAUAUCAAUAAGCGGAGGAAAAGAAACCAACAGGGAUUGCCUCAGUAACGGCGAGUGAAGCGGCAAUAGCUCAAAUUUGAAAUCUGGUCCUUUCAGGUCCCGAAUUGUAAUUUGUAGAGGAUGCUUCGGCUUACGCCCCGGUCUAAGUUCCUUGGAACAGGACGUCACAGAGGGUGAGAACCCCGUUUGUGGCCGGCGGCUUCCGCCAUGUGAAGCUCCUUCGACGAGUCGAGUUGUUUGGGAAUGCAGCUCUAAAUGGGAGGUAAAUUUCUUCUAAAGCUAAAUACCGGCCAGAGACCGAUAGCGCACAAGUAGAGUGAUCGAAAGAUGAAAAGCACUUUGGAAAGAGAGUUAAAAAGUACGUGAAAUUGUUGAAAGGGAAGCGCUUGCGACCAGACUUGCCCGCGGAUGCUCCGCCGGUCCUCCGACCGGUGUACUCUUCCGCGGUCAGGCCAGCAUCAGUUCGGGCGGUCGGAUAAAGGCCUCGGGAAUGUAGCUCUCUUCGGGGAGUGUUAUAGCCCUUGGUACAAUACGGCCCGCCUGGACUGAGGAACGCGCUUCGGCCAGGAUGCUGGCGUAAUGGUCGUAAGCGGCCCGUCUUG
Molecule: ribosomal RNA, 620 nt
Filed under: Helicosporium sp. SS 8125
Lineage: Eukaryota; Fungi; Ascomycota; Dothideomycetes; Tubeufiales; Tubeufiaceae
Description: eukaryotic LSU rRNA
Rfam family: Eukaryotic large subunit ribosomal RNA
Source: RNAcentral